RNAcentral lists this ribosomal RNA (977 nucleotides) under uncultured Mycoplasma sp. RNAcentral describes it as "bacterial SSU rRNA". It matches the Rfam family "Bacterial small subunit ribosomal RNA", at positions 356 to 1376 of the family's 1533-position model. The record is from RNAcentral. Lineage: Bacteria; Bacillati; Mycoplasmatota; Mollicutes; Mycoplasmatales; Mycoplasmataceae.
AGGGAAUCUUCCACAAUGGGCGAAAGCCUGAUGGAGCGAUGCCAUGUGAACGAUGAAGGUCUUUUUGAUUGUAAAGUUCUUUUAGAGGGGAAAAUGAUGAUGGUACCCUUUGAAUAAGUGACAGCAAACUAUGUGCCAGCAGCUGCGGUAAUACAUAGGUCGCGAGCGUUAUUCGGAUUUAUUGGGCGUAAAGCAAGCGCAGGCGGACGGACAAGUUUUGUGUUAAAAGCAGUUGCUCAACAAUUGUUUGCGCUGAAUACUGUCCGUCUAGAAUACGGUAGGAAGUUUUGGAAUUUAAUAUGGAGCGGUGGAAUGUGUAGAUAUAUUAAAGAACACCAGAGGCGAAGGCGAAAACUUAGGCCGUUAUUGACGCUUAGGCUUGAAAGUGUGGGGAGCAAAUGGGAUUAGAUACCCCAGUAGUCCACACUGUAAACGAUGGAUAUUAGAUGUUGGGACUUGUGUUUCAGCGUUGUAGCUUACGUGUUAAAUAUCCCGCCUGGGUAGUACAUAUGCAAAUAUGAAACUCAAAGGAAUUGACGGGGACCUGAACAAGUGGUGGAACAUGUUGCUUAAUUCGAUAAUACACGAAAAACCUUACCAAGGUUUGACAUCCCCAGCAAAGCUAUAGAAAUAUAGUGGAGGUUAUCUGGGUGACAGGUGGUGCAUGGCUGUCGUCAGCUCGUGUCAUGAGAUGUUUGGUUAAGUCCCGCAACGAGCGCAACCCUACUCUUUAGUUGCUUUUCUAAAGAGACCGAACAGUAAUGUAUAGGAAGGUUGGGAUCACGUCAAGUCAUCAUGCCCCUUAUGCCUUGGGCCGCAAACGUGUUACAAUGGUGAGUACAGCGUGCUGCAAGCCAGCGAUGGCAAGCAAAUCACUAAAAACUCAUCUCAGUCCGGAUAAAAGGCUGCAAUUCGCCUUUUUGAAGUUGGAAUCACUAGUAAUCGUGGAUCAGAAUGCCACGGUGAAUACGUUCCCG